Molecule: ribosomal RNA, 433 nt
Filed under: uncultured bacterium
Lineage: Bacteria
Description: partial 16S ribosomal RNA
Rfam family: Bacterial small subunit ribosomal RNA
Source: RNAcentral
AACGAACGCUGGCGGCAUGCCUAACACAUGCAAGUCGAACGAGACCUUCGGGUCUAGUGGCGCACGGGUGCGUAACGCGUGGGAACCUGCCCUUAGGUUCGGAAUAACUCCCCGACAGGGGUGCUAAUACCGGAUAAUGUCUUCGGACCAAAGAUUUAUCGCCUGUGGAUGGGCCCGCGUUGGAUUAGCUAGUUGGUAGGGUAAAAGCCUACCAAGGCGACGAUCCAUAGCUGGUCUGAGAGGAUGAUCAGCCACACUGGGACUGAGACACGGCCCAGACUCCUACGGGAGGCAGCAGUGGGGAAUAUUGGACAAUGGGCGAAAGCCUGAUCCAGCAAUGCCGCGUGAGUGAUGAAGGCCUUAGGGUUGUAAAGCUCUUUUACCCGGGAUGAUAAUGACAGUACCGGGAGAAUAAGCUCCGGCUAACUCCGUG